AGCGGCGGACGGGUGAGUAAUGCCUAGGAAAUUGCCCUGAUGUGGGGGAUAACCAUUGGAAACGAUGGCUAAUACCGCAUAACGCCUACGGGCCAAAGAGGGGGACCUUCGGGCCUCUCGCGUCAGGAUAUGCCUAGGUGGGAUUAGCUAGUUGGUGAGGUAAGGGCUCACCAAGGCGACGAUCCCUAGCUGGUCUGAGAGGAUGAUCAGCCACACUGGAACUGAGACACGGUCCAGACUCCUACGGGAGGCAGCAGUGGGGAAUAUUGCACAAUGGGCGCAAGCCUGAUGCAGCCAUGCCGCGUGUGUGAAGAAGGCCUUCGGGUUGUAAAGCACUUUCAGUCGUGAGGAAGGUAGUGUAGUUAAUAGCUGCAUUAUUUGACGUUAGCGACAGAAGAAGCACCGGCUAACUCCGUGCCAGCAGCCGCGGUAAUACGGAGGGUGCGAGCGUUAAUCGGAAUUACUGGGCGUAAAGCGCAUGCAGGUGGUUUGUUAAGUCAGAUGUGAAAGCCCGGGGCUCAACCUCGGAAUUGCAUUUGAAACUGGCAGACUAGAGUACUGUAGAGGGGGGUAGAAUUUCAGGUGUAGCGGUGAAAUGCGUAGAGAUCUGAAGGAAUACCGGUGGCGAAGGCGGCCCCCUGGACAGAUACUGACACUCAGAUGCGAAAGCGUGGGGAGCAAACAGGAUUAGAUACCCUGGUAGUCCACGCCGUAAACGAUGUCUACUUGGAGGUUGUGGCCUUGAGCCGUGGCUUUCGGAGCUAACGCGUUAAGUAGACCGCCUGGGGAGUACGGUCGCAAGAUUAAAACUCAAAUGAAUUGACGGGGGCCCGCACAAGCGGUGGAGCAUGUGGUUUAAUUCGAUGCAACGCGAAGAACCUUACCUACUCUUGACAUCCAGAGAACUUUCCGAGAUGGAUUGGUGCCUUCGGAACUCUGAGACAGUGCUGCAGGCUUCGUCAGCUCGGGUGUGAAAGGUGGGUAAGUCCCCACGAGGCAACCUUAUCUUGUUGCCGCGAUUAAGGCGGGAAUCCCGGGGAAUGCCGGGAUAACCGAAGAAGGGGGGGCAACUCCAUCUCUGGCCC
Molecule: ribosomal RNA, 1085 nt
Filed under: Vibrio sp.
Lineage: Bacteria; Pseudomonadati; Pseudomonadota; Gammaproteobacteria; Vibrionales; Vibrionaceae
Description: bacterial SSU rRNA
Rfam family: Bacterial small subunit ribosomal RNA
Source: RNAcentral